RNAcentral lists this ribosomal RNA (427 nucleotides) under uncultured bacterium. RNAcentral's name for it is "partial 16S ribosomal RNA". It matches the Rfam family "Bacterial small subunit ribosomal RNA", at positions 355 to 774 of the family's 1533-position model. The record is from RNAcentral.
UGGGGAAUUUUGGACAAUGGGCGCAAGCCUGAUCCAGCAAUGCCGCGUGCAGGAUGAAGGCCUUCGGGUUGUAAACUGCUUUUGUACGGAACGAAACGGCGAGCUCUAAUACAGUUUGCUAAUGACGGUACCGUAAGAAUAAGCACCAGCUAACUACGUGCCAGCAGCCGCGGUAAUACGUAGGGUGCAAGCGUUAAUCGGAAUUACUGGGCGUAAAGCGUGCGCAGGCGGUUAUGUAAGACAGAUGUGAAAUCCCCGGGCUUAACCUGGGAACUGCAUUUGUGACUGCAUAGCUAGAGUACGGUAGAGGGGGAUGGAAUUCCGCGUGUAGCAGUGAAAUGCGUAGAUAUGCGGAGGAACACCGAUGGCGAAGGCAAUCCCCUGGACCUGUACUGACGCUCAUGCACGAAAGCGUGGGGAGCAAACA